AGGAGCCGCUGUUGCUGUACUGGCUCUGCUGGCUGUAGCUCUGCGGCGCGCUGUAUGAGGACUGCUGGCUGUAGGAGGGCUGCUGGCUGCUGUAUGAGGACUGCUGGCUGUAGCCGGAGCUGGGCGGCUGCCCGUAGCUGGAGCUCUGGGAGCUGCCCCCAUAGCUGUGGGAAACGACACGUCCUGAGCUCAAAGGACCCCAAAGCACUCAGCAAAACCACCGGGGCCUCGUUAAAAACACGUGUUAAUGAGCUGACGGAUCAGGUUGGAAGGGGAGAGCGAACCCCGCAGCAGCUCUGUGGGUUUUAUACUGUAAGUGAAGCAAAGCGUGCGGUUAUAGGGGAGGACGUUCAGCUGAGCAUAACCUUGGGGCUGGGAACGUCCAGUGGGGCUGGGAACGUCCAGUGGGGCUGGGAACGUCCAGUGGGGCUGGGAACGUCCAGUGGGGCUGGGAACACCCAACAGAGCCAAAUUUGGGGUUGGAAGCGUCCAAUGGGGUUGGAAACGUCCAACAGAGCACAAUUUGGGGUUAAAACAUCCAACAGAGCCAAAUUUGGGGUUACAACACCCAACAGAGCCCAAUUUGGGGUUGGAAUCAUCCAAUGGGGUUGGAAACACCCAACAGAGCACAAUUUGGGGUUACAACACCCAACAGAGCCGAAUUUGGGGUUGGAAACAUCCAAUGGGGCUGGAAACAUCCAAUGGGGUUGGAAAAACCCAACAGAGGCAAAUUUGGGUUUAAAACACCCAACAGAUCCAAAUUUGGGGUUAAAACAUCCAAUAGAGCCAAG
RNAcentral lists this long non-coding RNA (791 nucleotides) under Gallus gallus (chicken). RNAcentral describes it as "lncRNA (ENSGALG00010000693.1)". The record is from RNAcentral. Lineage: Eukaryota; Metazoa; Chordata; Aves; Galliformes; Phasianidae.